RNAcentral lists this ribosomal RNA (481 nucleotides) under uncultured bacterium. Its description in RNAcentral is "partial 16S ribosomal RNA". It matches the Rfam family "Bacterial small subunit ribosomal RNA", at positions 28 to 507 of the family's 1533-position model. The record is from RNAcentral.
GAUGAACGCUGGCGGCGUGCCUAACACAUGCAAGUCGAACGGAGAUUACGGACGGAAGUUUUCGGAUGGAAGCCUGUAAUUCUUAGUGGCGGACGGGUGAGUAACGCGUGGGCAACCUGCCCUAUACAGGGGGAUAGCAGCUGGAAACGGCUGGUAAGACCGCAUAAGUCGGUUAAAUCGCAUGAUUUGAUCGGGAAAUGAGCAAUCAGGUAUAGGAUGGGCCCGCGUCCGAUUAGCCAGUUGGCAGGGUAAAAGCCUACCAAAGCGACGAUCGGUAGCCGGACUGAGAGGUCGGACGGCCACAUUGGGACUGAGACACGGCCCAAACUCCUACGGGAGGCAGCAGUGGGGGAUAUUGCACAAUGGAGGAAACUCUGAUGCAGCGACGCCGCGUGAGUGAAGAAGUAUUUCGGUGUGUAAAGCUCUAUCAGCAGGGAAGAUGAUGACGGUACCUGACUAAGAAGCCCCGGCUAACUACGUG